AGAAUCAACGCUGGCGGCGUGCCUAACACAUGCAAGUCGCACGAGAAAGGGUAGCAAUACCUGAGUAAAGUGGCGCACGGGUGAGUAACACGUGAAUUAUCUACCUCCGAGUGGGGAAUAACUGAGAGAAAUCUUAGCUAAUACCGCAUAACACUUACGAGUCAAAGCAGCAAUGCGCUUGGAGAGGAGUUCGCGGCAGAUUAGUUAGUUGGCGGGGUAAUGGCCCACCAAGACGAUGAUCUGU
RNAcentral lists this ribosomal RNA (244 nucleotides) under uncultured bacterium. Its description in RNAcentral is "partial small subunit ribosomal RNA". It matches the Rfam family "Bacterial small subunit ribosomal RNA", at positions 26 to 284 of the family's 1533-position model. The record is from RNAcentral.